UACGUAGGGUGCAAGCGUUGUCCGGAAUUAUUGGGCGUAAAGAGCUCGUAGGUGGUUCGGUAAGUCGGAUGUGAAAUCUCCAGGCUCAACCUGGAGGGGUCAUUCGAUACUGCCGUGACUAGAGGUCGGUAGGGGAGUGUGGAAUUCCUGGUGGAGCGGUGAAAUGCGCAGAUAUCAGGAGGAACACCCGUAGCGAAGGCGGCACUCUGGGCCGAUACUGACACUGAGGAGCGAAAGCGUGGGGAGCGAACAGG
Molecule: ribosomal RNA, 254 nt
Filed under: uncultured bacterium
Lineage: Bacteria
Description: partial 16S ribosomal RNA
Rfam family: Bacterial small subunit ribosomal RNA
Source: RNAcentral